GACGAACGCUGGCGGCGUGCUUAACGCAUGCAAGUCGAACGGUGAAGCCCUUCGGGGUGGAUCAGUGGCGAACGGGUGAGUAACACGUGAGCAACCUGCCCCUGGCUCUGGGACAACCACUGGAAACGGUGGCUAAUACCGGAUACGACCCGCCUCGGCAUCGAGUGUGGGUGGAAAGUUUUUCGGCUGGGGAUGGGCUCGCGGCCUAUCAGCUUGUUGGUGAGGUGAAGGCUCACCAAGGCGACGACGGGUAGCCGGCCUGAGAGGGCGACCGGCCACACUGGGACUGAGACACGGCCCAGACUCCUACGGGAGGCAGCAGUGGGGAAUAUUGCACAAUGGGCGAAAGCCUGAUGCAGCGACGCCGCGUGAGGGAUGACGGCCUUCGGGUUGUAAACCUCUUUCAGCUCCGAAGAAGCGAAAGUGACGGUAGGAGCAGAAGAAGCACCGGCUAACUACGUG
This 462-nucleotide ribosomal RNA is filed under the name uncultured bacterium. RNAcentral describes it as "partial 16S ribosomal RNA". It matches the Rfam family "Bacterial small subunit ribosomal RNA", at positions 28 to 507 of the family's 1533-position model. The record is from RNAcentral.